CUGACUCGCACUGGGGAAGGAUCUCUUUCUUUCUGGAGGUCUCUCCUUUUUGGAGUUUUCUACUGCAAGCCUAGAUCCUUGGAUACAGCAUGCCCUGGAGUCAGGAUCCACCAGAGGUGAGAUGCCCCAACUAGAGACCCCAAACACACUGUAGUCUGCCAGAGGCCUUCUGCAAGGCCAAGGCACAGCACAGUAGAACAGUGGGAAAACUGAAUUGCGGAAGGAGUUUUGAAUGAGGUGGGAGUACAUCUCUCCUGCUGCUGCUGCUUGAGCGACUAGCUGGAUAUUGAUUGUUCUAUCUCAACCCACGAAUUCUACUUUUUCUUUUCCUAAUUCUCUCCCCCAUCCCACUGGGAAGAAGGGGAGUGAGCAAACGACUGUGCGGUGCUGAGCCACGUGCUGGGUUAAACCACAGCAAUGUACAAAGUAAUUAAUUUCAUACUGUCCAACCUUAAAGGGAAAUCAUAGUAAUAUCAUUCAGUUAAUAGAAAGUAUUACGUAUCAGGUUCUAUUUUAAGAGAUUUUGUUUGUUUGCUUGUGGGUUAUUUUUUUUUUUUAAAUAAUUCAACCUAUUACACCUUGCUUCCAAUCUCUGUCUGCAUUCAAAGCAAUUACAUUAAUGCUUUUCAGAAGUACCACAGAAAUAUAGGUCAAAAAAAAAAAAAAAGCAGUACUACUCUCUAUCUUAAAGAAUGUAAUAGUGUUAUAGCAGUUUUCAGGCUAUCAGUUUUGAAGUAAAUUAACUGAAGUAGCAUUAUUUGAGUGACUCAGUCAUCAUAGCACCACUGUAGCUCAUAUGACUUGAAUUAACUAUUAUUAUUACUUAGGAUCAAUGUCAAUCAUAGUAUCAUAGGAUCAUAGAAUGGCUUGGGUUAGAAAGGACGUCAAAGAUCAUCUACUUCCAACGCCCUGCCACAGUCAGGAUUGCCAAUCACUAAAUCAUGCUCUAGAUUAAGUUGUCCGGGGCUCCAUCCAGCCUGUCCUUGGAUCUCAUGAGCAAUAUUAUCAAUUUUAUUCAUAUUGGGAUUUAAUGAUACCUUUGAAAUCUUAAUAUUCUACAGAACUGUAAAAACUCUUUGGUGUAUUGCAUUGACAAGGUACUGACUGGACUGUGAUAGCUGUGCUUAUAGAAGGGCAGCAGUGAUAAGAAAAAUAACACAUCUUAUAUAAAAAUAAGAUGUCUGUUGUUUCUUUGACAUAUGCAGCUGGGAAUCUCUCAUACACCUGUAUUCCCUGCAUCGUCAUGCAGAUGGCCUUAGGGAAUUAAUCUGGGAGAGAUUGUCAAAAAUCUAGUUGCUCAAAGCCUCUGUUACCUGCUUUCUCAGAUUUUCUGAUAUUUUCAGGAAGAAAACAUCUGUGGAUCCUUCACAUCUCCUGACUGGCAGAUGCACAGCCUCCUGAGGCUAAUGUGUACAGCUAAUCUGUCUGGUACUGUUUUGUUUAGAUCACUGGCUCUGAGGACAGACUGUCCUCUCUGUCUCCUCAUAUAUAGCCAAUUGAUGAGAAGAUUGAGCCCGUCAGUAGGAUCUCCUUUACCUCAGUUGAGGAGUUUUUCCACAGCCAAGGAAAGGACAACGCUUAAGAGCACUGAUAAUUCUCACCUGGAGUUCACCCAAGCUCAUAUGCCAUAACCAUUCAAUCAGUAUCAAAAUAUUAAUUAGAAACAGACAAAAAAACCCAUAUCUUUUUAAUCAAAUAGAGGGUCAUUUCCAAAAUACUUUUCCAAAUGAUUUUUUUUUUCUUGAAGCUUAACAACUAAGUAUCAAAUUCUUUCAACGAGCACAGAAGAAAUUUGUCUAGAGGCAUGUUUUUAACAGAGACACUUAAGGUCUGCUGAUGAACAGUUAGUGCAGUUUGGGGCAAUUUUCCUCUUUCAUGCUAAUUUUUUAUUGAUGCAAUUUUGCUGUAUUCAUUGAGAAUACUAAAAAUCUUUGCAGAUGCAGAUGAAAGGAAAAUCAUUUCUUUUACCAUUUUUUGAAUUCGUGGCAUACACAAGUUACAGAACAUGAUAUUUAUUAAUUGCUCAGAUUUAUAUGUUAACAGAAGAUCUUUGAGCAAACCAACAACCAUUAAUUCUUCCAUAAAAGUAAUAAGUUUAGUAUCAUAAUUCCACAUGAAACAGUUGAAGCAAGUAAACAACUUUCAGAAUCUCAAAAUCUAUUAUCAUCUUGUGAAUUAUCUCUUCAAGCACCUUUGUUCUAAGAGGAUAUAUUACAUUGUCAGUCAUCUUCCUUGGUAUCAUCCAUAGCAACUUGAUCAAGUUCAAAGCAAUUCUUUUCUGCUUCCUUACACUGUGUGCCAAAUACAAGCCAUUUCUUUUUGCUAAUACAAACUUUAUUAAAGACCUUGCAAAUACUUCUCAUUAUGAGAGACUUUCCUGUUGUUUUGUGUCACUCAUCAUUUGUUAUUAUUGCAAGAUUAUGUCUUUGUGAAUUUCUGAAAAAAAAUCUCUAACUCCAGUAUUAUAUUUACCUGUAAAAUUCAGAAUAUAGCACAAACACCAAAGCUCCAUUCUAAGCACAUUUUUUAAGGCUGCACUAAGUGCAAAGAAGAUUUAAUUUUAUAGCCUGACAUCUUGUUCUUUCUCAUAGUCAGUGUAGACUGAGAAAUGGGGAACAGCAUCUUCUUCCUGUUGAGGCUGUGUAUACUGCUAGUAACUGUACAAACUGGUUAUCAUGUUCCUUCUUCACAAGUGAUGAAGGAAAUCAUCUAUACAAGUAAAAUUGCUCCUUUGAUGAUUCUAAAUAAAAGAAUGGAAUCAAGCACAAAGUUUCUAUAAUGUAGCAAAUUCAAUUUCAGUAAUUGAGUAAUAGUAAAGAAUUAUGUGCUUAUUAUUAUGACAGAUCCAAAGUCACUUGAGUUAAUUUAACCUUUUCUCAGUGCAGCCUAAAAUGUCUUAAAUGACAUCAACCUUGUGCCAGACUUACAACUUCUGCAAUUCAGUUGAUAAACUUGAUCAUUUGUUUGAGAAAAUGGUUACUUUAUUUUGUAUGGUGUAUUUUGUUUGUAUUUUAUUUGAA
Non-coding RNA from Meleagris gallopavo (turkey), 3020 nucleotides. NCBI's taxonomy places the organism in Eukaryota, Metazoa, Chordata, Aves, Galliformes, Phasianidae. The record is from RefSeq and is a predicted model, not a curated record.